This 310-nucleotide unclassified non-coding RNA is filed under the name uncultured fungus. Its description in RNAcentral is "partial contains small subunit ribosomal RNA, internal transcribed spacer 1, and 5.8S ribosomal RNA". The stretch from base 1 to 73 matches the Rfam family "Eukaryotic small subunit ribosomal RNA", at positions 1759 to 1831 of the family's 1831-position model. Lineage: Eukaryota; Fungi. The record is from RNAcentral.
UCAAACUUGGUCAUUUAGAGGAAGUAAAAGUCGUAACAAGGUUUCCGUAGGUGAACCUGCGGAAGGAUCAUUAAUAGGGGUUGCACCUGGGCUCUCCCAGUGCAGCUUUUACCUUCACCCCCUGUUUACUGUACCACUGUUGCCUCGGCGAGUCGUAGGCUCAGGCCUCCGUCGGCUUCCAAAGCCCUCGAGUGCUCGCCGCAGGACAUUGCAUUAAACUCUCGUAACCAGACGUCUGAAUCAGAAAAUUUAAUAUUUUAAAACUUUCAACGACGGAUCUCUUGGUUCUGGCAUCGAUGAAGAACGCAGC